GAUGAACGCUGACAGAAUGCUUAACACAUGCAAGUCUACUUGAACUUCGGUUUGGGUGGCGGACGGGUGAGUAACGCGUAAAGAACUUGCCUCACAGUUAGGGACAACAUUUGGAAACGAAUGCUAAUACCUGAUAUUAUGAUUUUAGGGCAUCCUAAGAUUAUGAAAGCUAUAUGCGCUGUGAGAGAGCUUUGCGUCCCAUUAGCUAGUUGGAGAGGUAACGGCUCACCAAGGCGAUGAUGGGUAGCCGGCCUGAGAGGGUGAACGGCCACAAGGGGACUGAGACACGGCCCUUACUCCUACGGGAGGCAGCAGUGGGGAAUAUUGGACAAUGGACCAAAAGUCUGAUCCAGCAAUUCUGUGUGCACGAUGACGUUUUUCGGAAUGUAAAGUGCUUUCAGUUGGGAAGAAAAAAUGACGGUACCAACAGAAGAAGUGACGGCUAAAUACGUGCCAGCAGCCGCGGUAAUACGUAUGUCACAAGCGUUAUCCGGAUUUAUUGGGCGUAAAGCGCGUCUAGGUGGUUAUGUAAGUCUGAUGUGAAAAUGCAGGGCUCAACUCUGUAUUGCGUUGGAAACUGCAUGACUAGAGUACUGGAGAGGUAAGCGAAACUACAAGUGUAGAGGUGAAAUUCGUAGAUAUUUGUAGGAAUGCCGAUGGGGAAGCCAGCUUACUGGACAGAUACUGACGCUAAAGCGCGAAAGCGUGGGUAGCAAACAGG
This 721-nucleotide ribosomal RNA is filed under the name uncultured Fusobacterium sp. Its description in RNAcentral is "bacterial SSU rRNA". It matches the Rfam family "Bacterial small subunit ribosomal RNA", at positions 28 to 776 of the family's 1533-position model. The record is from RNAcentral. Lineage: Bacteria; Fusobacteriati; Fusobacteriota; Fusobacteriia; Fusobacteriales; Fusobacteriaceae.